RNAcentral lists this ribosomal RNA (534 nucleotides) under Triticum aestivum (bread wheat). RNAcentral describes it as "partial small subunit ribosomal RNA". Lineage: Eukaryota; Viridiplantae; Streptophyta; Magnoliopsida; Poales; Poaceae. The record is from RNAcentral.
AUGGCCACCGUGGCCACGGCGACCACGCCCGCUCCUCCUAUAAAGCCCCAGACGGGCACCCUAGGGUUUCCCUCUACCCUCUCCGUGCCGCCGCCGCCACCUAGUAGGUCCAAGCCACGCCACGCCACCAUAGCCAUCGCCCCCUUCCACCAGAGAGCUUCCGAAGCACUCCCAUGGCUCUGCCGCAGCCACAGCCUCCUCCGUCGUUGUCCUCGCUCAUGGUUGGCUCACCGAUGGCGUAUUCAUCGACUACAAGCAUGCCAGGAGCCAGAUGUUGACACGGGCGACGCGAUCGUCUUCUUCCACGACAUCCUCUUCUUCGUCUACUUCGUCUUCUUCACGGAGCAGAGAAACAUCAAGUUCAGCGAGCUCCCUCGUCGUCUCCGUCAUCUCUCCAUCCGAUCUGUCUUCGCAAGCACCCCCAUGGUGAGCAGCCGCUCCUCCAUGCCUCGUAACCCUAUUGGUUUCCUCGCCGUAUAUCAGUGUCCUUCUCGUGUCCGAAGACCAGUCGCCGCGCUCUCGUCAUGCGGAUGA